GUAAGGAAUAUUGCACAAUGGGCGAAAGCCUGAUGCAGCGACGCCGCGUGGGCGAUGAAGGCCUUCGGGUUGUAAAGCCCUUUUCUGGGAGAAGAGAAAGGACGGUAUCCCAGGAAUAAGCGUCGGCUAACUACGUGCCAGCAGCCGCGGUAAAACGUAGGACGCGAGCGUUAUCCGGAUUCACUGGGCGUAAAGUGCGUUGAGGCGGUUCUGUAAGUUGGACGUGAAAGCCCCAGGCUUAACUUGGGGAGGCCGUUCAAUACUGCGGGACUAGAGGACAGCAGAGGGAGGCGGAAUUCCCGGUGUAGUGGUGAAAUGCGUAGAUAUCGGGAGGAACACCAGUGGCGAAGGCGGCUUCCUGGGCUGUUUCUGACGCUGAAGGCGAAAGCCAGGGGAGCGAACGGGAUUAGAAACCCUAGUAGUCC
This 425-nucleotide ribosomal RNA is filed under the name uncultured bacterium. RNAcentral describes it as "bacterial SSU rRNA". It matches the Rfam family "Bacterial small subunit ribosomal RNA", at positions 354 to 796 of the family's 1533-position model. The record is from RNAcentral.